CAACCUACGGGACGCAGCAGUGGGGAAUAUUGCACAAUGGGGGAAACCCUGAUGCAGCAACGCCACGUGAGUGAAGAAGGUUCUCGGAUUGUAAAGCUCUGUUAGCAGGGAAGAGGAAGGACGGUACCUGCAGAGGAAGCCACGGCUAACUACGUGCCAGCGGCCGCGGUAAUACGUAGGUGGCAAGCGUUGUUCGGAAUAACUGGGCGUAAAGGAUGCGUGGGCGGGUAAACAAGUUAUAUGUUAAAUAUAUAGGCUUAACCUGUAGAAAGCAUAUAAAACUGUUUAACUAGAGUGCAGGAGAG
This 305-nucleotide ribosomal RNA is filed under the name uncultured bacterium. RNAcentral's name for it is "bacterial SSU rRNA". It matches the Rfam family "Bacterial small subunit ribosomal RNA", at positions 333 to 656 of the family's 1533-position model. The record is from RNAcentral.